UUUUUCCUACGGGAGGCAGCAGUGAGGAAUAUUGGUCAAUGGGCGGAAGCCUGAACCAGCCAAGUCGCGUGAGGGAUUAAGGCCCUGCGGGUCGUAAACCUCUUUUGCCGGGGAGCAGAGGUCCGGACGUGUCCGGGCCGGGAGAGUACCCGGAGAAAAAGCAUCGGCUAACUCCGUGCCAGCAGCCGCGGUAAUACGGAGGAUGCGAGCGUUAUCCGGAUUUAUUGGGUUUAAAGGGUGCGUAGGCGGGCAUUUAAGCCGGCGGUCAAAUGUCGGGGCUCAACCCCGGCCUGCCGUCGGAACUG
RNAcentral lists this ribosomal RNA (305 nucleotides) under uncultured bacterium. RNAcentral describes it as "bacterial SSU rRNA". It matches the Rfam family "Bacterial small subunit ribosomal RNA", at positions 333 to 635 of the family's 1533-position model. The record is from RNAcentral.